Molecule: long non-coding RNA, 1693 nt
Organism: Erinaceus europaeus (western European hedgehog)
Lineage: Eukaryota; Metazoa; Chordata; Mammalia; Eulipotyphla; Erinaceidae
Exons: 3
Source: RefSeq, a predicted model, not a curated record
GAAACAGCUUAUCCACGCUCUCCGAUCCCGUGUCUGUUUCUCUUUCUCUCUCCAUCUCUUGAGCUGUCUGUCCCUCAUUCAUUCACUUUUCCAUCUUCUCGCUAUUGUGCCAGCUCAAUUUAAAUGUAUCUGCUCUGUAUCUGUUCAAGUGGAGAUAAUCCAUGCAAAUCAGGAACAGUGGCUUUCAGUGCUCGGUUCACAGAGAGGACUCAGCUUGAGGAGGUCACUCGUUCACAGCCGCUCCUCCUAUUAUAUUUUUCCCCUUAUUGCAGAACUGCUGUAUGUAUACAGUGACUGAAAGGACUCAAUUUACUGCAACUGCUGCCUGGCUUUACUUACAACUUUUUUUUUUUUUUAUAAAGGAACUUACCUCCAUCUGUCUUUUCAAGGGUAGAAAAGGUCCCUUCAACUCCUGAAGACAGUAAAUCACAGUUUGUGUGGUGGUUAUCAGAAGACACUUAAAGGAUUGAAUUGGAUGCUCUACAUAGCACCCUUGCCAAGAGAAUUCGGAAAUGACUUCCAGCUUCCCACAGUAAUAAAAUGACACUGUUUGGCAUCUUUAAGCUCUUCACAAUGAAGUCAGCAUGUGUAUUUGAAAUGAAAUGGCAUAAAGAUAUAUAUGGCUUGAUUAACAGCCACGAGGGAUAUUUGAAUAUACCAGUACUCUUUUAAGAGAUGGAAAAUGUGCUACAACUCAAACAUUUGCAACUGUAAGGAUAGUUCUGCUCUUGAUAUGGAAAUGAAAAUUUGUGUUUCUGAAGAAAAAAUUUUCAAAAUCUUAGCAAAUUAAACAAGCAAACCAAUUUCUAUCUCCUGCUGGCUUCUACAUAUUUUCCUAAUUUUCAAUGACAUUUUAAAUAUUUGGAUGACUAAAGUACUAUGCUGCUCAACCUAAUUUUGUGAUUUGUGGACAUCUAUUAAAUUGAAGAGCAAGGGAAAAUUACUAUUUACUCUCAUUCAUCUACUACCCUCACUUCACUAUUAUAUUUUUCAGAAUACCUCAAGAAUUUCCACUUGGUCAAUCAAAACACAGAAAAGAGAUUUAAUCACAGCACUCACCUUUUUCAAUAUUCUAACAUGCUGUCACUCACUUAUAGUCUAGAAGCAGCAUACUUUUGAAUUGUAUUACCUACUAUAUGUCAUGCACUGGAUUUAAAUCCCAUAUGGCUCCUUGUCUCAUAAAUUGACCUAAUCCAGACCAAAGCCAAUUUGCCUUCCAUUUUUCCAUCUCUACUGCUACUCCCACUUCUAACCUCUCUAGUCUCAACAUAGACAGAAAGAGAGAUUUCAUGUGGAUUACAUGUUUAUAAAAUUCUCAUUUGACAUUUAAAAUAUAAACAUGUCUGAGGGAAUCUCCCCUUUAAAUGGUGCACUUCAAUACCUCACAUAUACUAUUUGAAUGACUAACAGUCAGGUCAAAGUUAAUAUAGUUAAGAUAAAACUAUUGAUUUUUUUCUGCCAAAUUUACUUCUUCCCAUUUCAGACAAUAGUAUCACAAUAGUAUCCAGAUUCAGUUCAAAACAAAAUUGCAAUCUUAGAAUUCCUCCCCAGUUUUCACACUUACACCAUGCAUGGUAAACUCUAUUGACACCACCUCCAAAUCAUCUCAACCACUUCUAGCAUGUCAAAUGCUACAACUUUAAUCCCUACCACUCAUUUGCAAAGGGGAGGGGAACCAAAAUUUCAAUUUUUU